Molecule: ribosomal RNA, 305 nt
Filed under: uncultured bacterium
Lineage: Bacteria
Description: bacterial SSU rRNA
Rfam family: Bacterial small subunit ribosomal RNA
Source: RNAcentral
ACCUACGGGACGCAGCAGUGAGGAAUAUUGCACAAUGGGCGAAAGCCUGAUGCAGCAACGCCGCGUGAAGGAAGACGGUUUUCGGAUUGUAAACUUCUAUCAAUAGGGAAGAAAGAAAUGACGGUACCUAAAUAAGAAGCCCCGGCUAACUACGUGCCAGCAGCCGCGGUAAUACGUAGGGGGCAAGCGUUAUCCGGAAUUACUGGGUGUAAAGGGAGCGUAGACGGCUGGGCAAGCCUGAUGUGAAAGGCGGGGGCGCAACCCUCGGACUGCAUUGGGAACUGUCCGGCUGGAGCGCCGGAGGG